CUCUGAUUUUCCUUGCCUUAGACUGAAAUCUUUCUUCUUUACCCUCUGAUUUUCCUUGCCUUGACUGAAAUCUUUCUUCUUUGACCAAGGUUGGAAUUAAAGUUUUCUCAAAAUGGUGCACCUCCUACUGCUACGGGGCGAUUUGAGAAGAUUUGAAGAGCAAAAAUGGAAAUCGUCUACACCAAAAUUGAGAAAAGGCAGAGGGAGAAAGUAGCUUAUUCAAAAUAGGGCACACAAUUCUCUAAUGAAGAAGAUUUUGAGUUCAAACUUGCCUCAAAAUGGAAGGUAAUGACAAAGCUAUG
This 302-nucleotide long non-coding RNA is filed under the name Capsicum annuum. RNAcentral's name for it is "long non-coding RNA (CANN_LNC016321)". The record is from RNAcentral. Lineage: Eukaryota; Viridiplantae; Streptophyta; Magnoliopsida; Solanales; Solanaceae.